GACGAACGCUGGCGGCGUGCCUAAUACAUGCAAGUCGAGCGGACCAAAGGGAGCUUGCUCCUGGAGGUUAGCGGCGAACGGGUGAGUAACACGUGGGCAACCUGCCUGUAAGACUGGGAUAACAUCGAGAAAUCGGUGCUAAUACCGGAUAAUAAAAAGAACUGCAUGGUUCUUUUUGAAAGAUGGUUUCGGCUAUCACUUACAGAUGGGCCGCGGCGCAUUAGCUAGUUGGUGGGGUAACGGCUCACCAAGGCGACGAUGCGUAGCCGACCUGAGAGGGUGAUCGGCCACACUGGGACUGAGACACGGCCCAGACUCCUACGGGAGGCAGCAGUAGGGAAUCUUCCGCAAUGGACGAAAGUCUGACGGAGCAACGCCGCGUGAGUGAUGAAGGUUUUCGGAUCGUAAAACUCUGUUGUUAGGGAAGAACAAGUGCCGUUCGAAAGGGCGGCACCUUGACGGUACCUAACGAGAAAGCCACGGCUAACUACGUGCCAGCAGCCGCGGUAAUGUAC
This 515-nucleotide ribosomal RNA is filed under the name uncultured bacterium. RNAcentral's name for it is "bacterial SSU rRNA". It matches the Rfam family "Bacterial small subunit ribosomal RNA", at positions 28 to 526 of the family's 1533-position model. The record is from RNAcentral.